GAGUUUGAUCGUGGCUCAGGAUGAACGCUAGCGGCAGGCUUAACACAUGCAAGUCGAGGGGCAGCGCGGGGCGGCAACGUCCUGGCGGCGACCGGCGGAAGGGUGCGUAACGCGUGAGCGACAUGCCCGUUGCCCGGGGACAACCGGUGGAAACGCCGACUAAUCCCCGAUGGGACGGAGGCCCUCAUGGGUCUCUGUUGAAAGUUGCGGCGGCGACGGAUUGGCUCGCGUCCGAUUAGCUUGUUGGCGGGGUAACGGCCCACCAAGGCUACGAUCGGUAGGGGUUCUGAGAGGAAGGUCCCCCACAAUGGAACUGAGACACGGUCCAUACUCCUACGGGAGGCAGCAGUGAGGAAUAUUGGUCAAUGGGCGGAAGCCUGAACCAGCCAUGCCGCGUGCGGGAAGGAGGCCCUAUGGGCUGUGAACCGCUUUUGCCUGGGGGCAAUAAGGGCGUCGUGCACGUCCGAUGAGAGUACCAGGCGAAUAAGCAUCGGCUAACUCC
RNAcentral lists this ribosomal RNA (502 nucleotides) under uncultured bacterium. RNAcentral describes it as "bacterial SSU rRNA". It matches the Rfam family "Bacterial small subunit ribosomal RNA", at positions 9 to 504 of the family's 1533-position model. The record is from RNAcentral.